RNAcentral lists this ribosomal RNA (254 nucleotides) under uncultured bacterium. Its description in RNAcentral is "partial 16S ribosomal RNA". It matches the Rfam family "Bacterial small subunit ribosomal RNA", at positions 524 to 776 of the family's 1533-position model. The record is from RNAcentral.
UAAGGAGGGGACUAGCAGUGUUCGGAAUUACUGAGCGUAAAGGGCGCGCAGGCGGCUGCUCAAGUCAGGCGUGAAAGGCCUGGGCUCAACCCGGGAAUUGCGGUUGAGACUGGGCUGGCUUGAGUGCGGGAGAGGAUGGUGGAAUUCCCAGUGUAGAGGUGAAAUUCGUAGAUAUUGGGAAGAACACCGGUGGCGAAGGCGGCCAUAUGGUCCGCAACUGACGCUGAGGCGCGAAAGCGUGGGGACCAAACAGG